Schistosoma mattheei is the source of this 78-nucleotide non-coding RNA. NCBI's taxonomy places the organism in Eukaryota, Metazoa, Platyhelminthes, Trematoda, Strigeidida, Schistosomatidae. The record is from Rfam.
AGCCUUCUGAACCCGUACCGAGAUUUCGUCAGAAAUCAGAACAUCAGCACUGAUGAGACUCCCAAGAUAAGUGAAUUG